This 253-nucleotide ribosomal RNA is filed under the name uncultured bacterium. Its description in RNAcentral is "partial 16S ribosomal RNA". It matches the Rfam family "Bacterial small subunit ribosomal RNA", at positions 524 to 776 of the family's 1533-position model. The record is from RNAcentral.
UACGUAGGGGGCUAGCGUUGUCCGGAAUCAUUGGGCGUAAAGCGCGCGUAGGCGGCCAGAUAAGUCCGGUGUGAAAGUCACAGGCUCAACCUGUGAAUGCCGCUGGAAACUGUCUGGCUAGAGUCCGGAAGGGGCGAGUGGAAUUCCUGGUGUAGCGGUGAAAUGCGCAGAUAUCGGGAAGAACACCCGUGGCGAAGGCGGUUCUCUGGGACGGUACUGACGCUGAGACGCGAAAGCGUGGGGAGCGAACAGG